GAUGAACGCUGGCGGCGUGCCUAAUACAUGCAAGUCGAGCGAAUGGAUUAAGAGCUUGCUCUUAUGAAGUUAGCGGCGGACGGGUGAGUAACACGUGGGUAACCUGCCCAUAAGACUGGGAUAACUCCGGGAAACCGGGGCUAAUACCGGAUAACAUUUUGAACCGCAUGGUUCGAAAUUGAAAGGCGGCUUCGGCUGUCACUUAUGGAUGGACCCGCGUCGCAUUAGCUAGUUGGUGAGGUAACGGCUCACCAAGGCAACGAUGCGUAGCCGACCUGGGAGGGUGAUCGGCCACACGAGGACUGAGACACGGCCCAGACUCCUACUGGAGGCAGCAGUAGGGAAUCUUCCGCAAUGGACGAAAGUCUGACGGAGCAACGCCGCGUGAGUGAUGAAGGCUUUCGGGUCGUAAAACUCUGUUGUUAGGGAAGAACAAGUGCUAGUUGAAUAAGCUGGCACCUUGACGGUACCUAACCAGAAAGCCACGGCUAACUACGUGCCAGCCGCCGCGGUAA
This 515-nucleotide ribosomal RNA is filed under the name uncultured bacterium. RNAcentral's name for it is "partial 16S ribosomal RNA". It matches the Rfam family "Bacterial small subunit ribosomal RNA", at positions 28 to 523 of the family's 1533-position model. The record is from RNAcentral.